GAGCCUCAGUGCCCUCAGCCUGCAUUUGUGGAGUCUGAACUGGGUCCACAGCUGUUCUGCCUCAGUGUGGGGCCAAGGCUAACAAAAAGCAAAGCCUCUGGAAGAAGAGGAAGUGUUCUCUGGAUGCUGAAUGGGAGACCUUGAGGAGCAGCUACAUCUCCAGCCUGCUUCCUGCACCUGGUGGGGGACACAGUGCUUCUCCGCCUUCAGGAAACAGCCCACUUGUCAGCAGCUGGGCUCCCAGGAACAAAGGCCUAGGUUCAUUACCACAGUAUCGACCCUGACACGUUGCACUCGGGCCACCUCCCCCAGAGUUCCUCAAUUCACACCCCAAAUGAAGCGUAAUUGGACCUGGACAUCUUUGAAGUCCCCCGAGCAGCUUGCCAGCAUUUUGAAAUGUCCUUGA
RNAcentral lists this long non-coding RNA (406 nucleotides) under Bos indicus x Bos taurus (hybrid cattle). RNAcentral's name for it is "lncRNA (ENSBIXG00005017676.1)". Lineage: Eukaryota; Metazoa; Chordata; Mammalia; Artiodactyla; Bovidae. The record is from RNAcentral.